GUGAAGGGAGCCCUUAUUUCUAGCUCUCUAAAGGACAACUACAUCAAACAGGGGUAGUAUGAGCUUCCCUAACAUUGCCCCACCAGAGUGUCUGAAUUCAGACCUGGAGGGACCAACUACAUAGGUGUAAAAGCAUCUUUAAGCCUCCUUUUGGUCCCUGCCUUGU
This 166-nucleotide small RNA is filed under the name Chelonoidis abingdonii (Abingdon island giant tortoise). RNAcentral describes it as "TUC338 (ENSCABG00000011845.1)". The record is from RNAcentral. Lineage: Eukaryota; Metazoa; Chordata; Testudines; Testudinidae.